Chelonia mydas (Green sea turtle) is the source of this 1212-nucleotide long non-coding RNA. RefSeq lists it as uncharacterized. The record is from RefSeq and is a predicted model, not a curated record. Lineage: Eukaryota; Metazoa; Chordata; Testudines; Cheloniidae. The transcript is spliced from 3 exons.
CUGAGAUCAUUACAAGAAUGAAAGAUACUAGGAAGGGGUGUUAGAUGAAGUUACAGCCCAUGAAUAGCAAUAGUGUGACCUAUUGAUGCAUCUAUUCAUGAAAAUGGGAGAGCAAGAGGCAAAUAACUUUCACCUGGCUUCUAGUAUUCAUUCACCUACCCAGUAAGAAAAAAAAGUAUGGCUUCUGUUUUAAUCAUGUAGGAAAUGAGCUAGGCAACCGGUAAUAACACAUUGUGCUGUUAUAGAGAUUACAUUGAUACUUUGCCCAGCAACAAGAAAAGGAAAGUUUUGGUUCGGCAGAAUAAUCCAAAUGAUGUUGGUUUGCACUUGUGCACAAAAGAGUAGAAGCUCUGAGAAGCCUUUGACUGACAUCAUCCCCACAGUUCCCCUCUCUCCCCACAGUAAGCUGUCGCCCCUGAAAUGGCUUAUGAGUGUAAACUCUUUGGGGCAGAGGUUGGCGUCUCUUCAGUGGGUGAGAUUCCAUAGCCCAAGAGAGGGGCACCUAAGCAGCUUUAGGAUGGCCUUUGCGCCGUCCCAAUCCUGGCCUUCUCUGAGGACUCAAGAGGCACCUGGCAUAACAUAGACAGUCCGGAGGGCCUUUCUAAGUUUCAGCAACCUUCUCAGGCUCCCCUAUGGGCUGCAGCACCGCCUGGAAUUUCUGCAGCACCACAUGCUGGGGCCCUGCCCCUGACAUAUCCCUUCCGCCCUCAGCUCUGCCCUGACAUGUCCUGCUAUGUCAGGGCUUCCAAGGGGGCUCUAGGAAGGUAACCUUAGGUCUGUCUCUGCAAAGUCUGCACCAGAGGAAUCCUUCCCUGGCUGCAAUUGUGGGGCCCCCUUAUGCUGCUCUGGCCUUUUACCUGGUGAAAAGAGACUGAAGCAGGGCUCAGGACCUUACCCCAUGCUUGUACAGUGCCUAGCACAAUGGGGACUCACGCCUGGGUGAGGUCUGUAAAUGUUACCUGUAUUCAAAUCAUAUUAAAUCUCAGGAAGAGUCCAAAAGUGUCUGAUGCAGCUGGAUCUUUUGGAGUGUACUUAAGUCAUCACUAAUUUCAAGUCGCUGAUCUGAGUUUCACUGACAUCCAAGCCGAUUUUGGGCUUGACAUAUCAGCACAAACAAAAAGUUUGAAAAUACAGUAAUUUACUUCAGUGUUUUCAGCAGUGUUGCUUUUUCUCCCAGGUAGUGAUAGUGGUGUUAUUAAAAAUUAACAAAUA